Molecule: ribosomal RNA, 510 nt
Filed under: uncultured bacterium
Lineage: Bacteria
Description: partial 16S ribosomal RNA
Rfam family: Bacterial small subunit ribosomal RNA
Source: RNAcentral
GACGAACGCUGGCGGCGUGCUUAACACAUGCAAGUCGAACGAAGAGCGACGGAAGCUUGCUUCUAUCAAUCUUAGUGGCGAACGGGUGAGUAACGCGUAAUCAACCUGCCCUUCAGAGGGGGACAACAGUUGGAAACGACUGCUAAUACCGCAUACGAUCUAACCUCGGCAUCGAGGAUAGAUGAAAGGUGGCCUCUACAUGUAAGCUAUCACUGAAGGAGGGGAUUGCGUCUGAUUAGCUAGUUGGAGGGGUAACGGCCCACCAAGGCGAUGAUCAGUAGCCGGUCUGAGAGGAUGAACGGCCACAUUGGGACUGAGACACGGCCCAGACUCCUACGGGAGGCAGCAGUGGGGAAUCUUCCGCAAUGGACGAAAGUCUGACGGAGCAACGCCGCGUGAGGGAUGACGGCCUUCGGGUUGUAAAGCUCUGUUAAUCGGGACGAAAGGCCUUCUUGCGAAUAGUGAGAAGGAUUGACGGUACCGGAAGAGAAAGCCACGGCUAACUACGUG